CCUGUUUAUCAAAAACAUCGCCUUUAGCUUUACAAGUAUUAAAGGUACCGCCUGCCCAGUGAACCAAUUUUUAACGGCCGCGGUAUCCUAACCGUGCAAAGGUAGCGCAAUCACUUGUCCCCUAAAUAGGGACCUGUAUGAACGGCUAACUGAGGACAUAACUGUCUCCUGAGGCCAACUAAUGAAACUGAUCCUCUGGUACAAAAGCCAGAAUAACCACACAAGACGAGAAGACCCUGUGGAGCUUAUAACCUAACCGCUACUACCAGUGCCAAACCCCUUACGAGGCCCAGCACACGCAACCUAGCCGUCAUUUUAAGUUGGGGCGACUGCGGAGUAAAACAAACCCUCCAAGAUUUCAUAGGCUACAAGACCUCUAAAGCGGCAUACACGCCAACAAGCCACCAAAAACUGACCCAGUACCACUGACUACCGAACCAAGUUACCCCAGGGAUAACAGCGCCAUCCCCCUCAAGAGUCCUUAUCAACAGGGGGGCUUACGACCUCGAUGUUGGAUCAGGGCGCCCUAGCGGUGUAGCCGCUGCUAAA
Molecule: ribosomal RNA, 549 nt
Filed under: Mediodactylus kotschyi (Kotschy's gecko)
Lineage: Eukaryota; Metazoa; Chordata; Lepidosauria; Squamata; Gekkonidae
Description: LSU rRNA
Rfam family: Bacterial large subunit ribosomal RNA
Source: RNAcentral